UACGGAGGAUCCAAGCGUUAUCCGGAUUUAUUGGGUUUAAAGGGUGCGUAGGCGGCUUAAUAAGUCAGUGGUGAAAGCCGAUCGCUUAACGAUCGAACUGCCAUUGAUACUGCUAGGCUUGAGUAUAGAUGAGGUAGGCGGAAUUGACAGUGUAGCGGUGAAAUGCAUAGAUAUUGUCAAGAACACCAAUUGCGAAGGCAGCUUACUAAGUUAUAAACUGACGCUGAGGCACGAAAAGUGCGGGGGAUCAAACAGG
RNAcentral lists this ribosomal RNA (256 nucleotides) under uncultured bacterium. Its description in RNAcentral is "partial 16S ribosomal RNA". It matches the Rfam family "Bacterial small subunit ribosomal RNA", at positions 524 to 776 of the family's 1533-position model. The record is from RNAcentral.